AACUUUCAACAACGGAUCACUUGGCUCUCGCAUCGAUGAAGAACGCAGCGAAAUGGGAUAAGUAAUGUGAAUUGCAGAAUUCAGUGAAUCAUCGAAUCUUUGAACGCACCUUGCGCUCCCUGGUAUUCCGGGGAGCACGCCUGUUCGAGUAUCGCGAAAUUUCUCAAGCUUGGAUGGCAAUUUCUGUCUGUCCUUAGUUUGGUUGUUGGGCUUUGCCGUGUCCCUUGAUUGGGACGGCUGGCCUUAAAAGCAUUAGCUGAUCCUCGUGUGGAACUGGUUCUACUCAGCGUGAUAACAGUCUGAUCGCCGAGGACAUCUUUCGGGAUGGCCAGUCCCCAUUUGGAUUGCUUCCAAACUUGGUUUUGCAGAUUCUUCAAUCUGUGUUCCACUUUUCAGCUUUGACCUCGAAUCAGGUGGGACUACCCGCUGAACUUAAGCAUAUCAAUAAGCGGAGGCU
Molecule: unclassified non-coding RNA, 457 nt
Filed under: uncultured Clavulina
Lineage: Eukaryota; Fungi; Basidiomycota; Agaricomycetes; Cantharellales; Hydnaceae
Description: sequence contains ITS2
Rfam family: 5.8S ribosomal RNA (bases 1-154)
Source: RNAcentral